RNAcentral lists this ribosomal RNA (253 nucleotides) under uncultured bacterium. RNAcentral's name for it is "partial 16S ribosomal RNA". It matches the Rfam family "Bacterial small subunit ribosomal RNA", at positions 524 to 776 of the family's 1533-position model. The record is from RNAcentral.
UACGGAGGGUGCGAGCGUUGUCCGGAAUUACUGGGCGUAAAGGGCUCGUAGGUGGCCAACUAAGUCAGACGUGAAAUCCCUCGGCUUAACCGGGGAACUGCGUCUGAUACUGGAUGGCUUGAGUGUGGGAGAGGGAUGCGGAAUUCCAGGUGUGGCGGUGAAAUGCGUAGAUAUCUGGAGGAACACCGGUGGCGAAGGCGGCAUCCUGGACCAUUACUGACACUGAAUAGCGAAAGCCAGGGGAGCAAACGGG